RNAcentral lists this ribosomal RNA (632 nucleotides) under uncultured bacterium. RNAcentral describes it as "bacterial SSU rRNA". It matches the Rfam family "Bacterial small subunit ribosomal RNA", at positions 56 to 734 of the family's 1533-position model. The record is from RNAcentral.
UGCAAGUCGAGCGGGCCUUUCGGGGUCAGCGGCGGACGGGUGAGUAACGCGUGGGAACGUGCCCUCUGGUUCGGAAUAACUCAGGGAAACUUGAGCUAAUACCGGAUACGCCCUUUUGGGGAAAGGCUUGCUGCCGGAGGAUCGGCCCGCGUCUGAUUAGCUAGUUGGUGAGGUAACGGCUCACCAAGGCGACGAUCAGUAGCUGGUCUGAGAGGAUGAUCAGCCACACUGGGACUGAGACACGGCCCAGACUCCUACGGGAGGCAGCAGUGGGGAAUAUUGGACAAUGGGCGCAAGCCUGAUCCAGCCAUGCCGCGUGAGUGAUGAAGGCCUUAGGGUUGUAAAGCUCUUUUAUCCGGGACGAUAAUGACGGUACCGGAGGAAUAAGCCCCGGCUAACUUCGUGCCAGCAGCCGCGGUAAUACGAAGGGGGCUAGCGUUGCUCGGAAUCACUGGGCGUAAAGGGCGCGUAGGCGGCGUUUUAAGUCGGGGGUGAAAGCCUGUGGCUCAACCACAGAAUGGCCUUCGAUACUGGGACGCUUGAGUAUGGUAGAGGUUGGUGGAACUGCGAGUGUAGAGGUGAAAUUCGUAGAUAUUCGCAAGAACACCGGUGGCGAAGGCGGCCAACUGGAC